GUGUGUCAGGCACUGUUCUAAGGGUUUUACUCGUAUUAACUCAUUUAAUCCUUAUAAUAGCUCUGAGAUGGAUUUAUUGUUCUCCCUGUUUUACAUAUUAGGAAACUGAAGCAUGGGAUGGUACAAGAACUUGCCACAGUGUUAAAUGGGAACCAGGAGUCAAACCCAGGAAAUCUAGCACCAGUCACUAAGCUAGAAAACCUGCAAUCUUUCGUCUGUCAAACCCUGGUUAAUAAUGCCCUAACUUAUUUACUAGUAUUGUUCUGAAGCAAUACACUUCAAAAUAAGCAAAUAUUGUCCUUAUUUAAUUUAAAAACAAGUGCUAAUAGCUAAAACUUAAGCACAUAUAUAUUCUAAGAAAAUACAUUAGUCAUUGUCCUUGUUUUUGAUACUUAAUCAUAUUGUAGCAGAGCAUAUAUUGAAUACAACUGACUUUCAUGAAUUAAAUCACCACUAUACUGCUUUUUUAGAUAGUACUGCUAGUUAUAAACAUUCUAUUGGUAAUUCUGUACUAUCAGUAAUUCUGUAAUCUCAAACAUGAAAGAUCACAAAAAAAGACAAGGAAAUUGAACAAAUACUGCAAAUUCCUAAAGGCUUGGGGUCAGAUGGGAACUUCAGAGAUUUAGCCUAAGUGAUUUUUUUACACACCAAAUCCUUUCUCCACCAUGUGAAGUCUUUGUGAAAUUCUACCCUGUAAAACAAUUCAAAGCAGCUGCUUUGGCUGAAGGCAGAAAAGGAGCCCAAGAGCUCUACCCAUCAAACUUCCUCCAAGGACCUUGAAACUAAGCAAAAUUCUGGAGUUCCAACAAAACAUGAAGACUAUUGACCACACAACACAACGUAGGCCUUCUCCCACAGUAUCCUGAAGGAACUUCAUCCAAAAUCAAACAAUCUUCAUUGACAUGAAACCUUCUAAAGGCAGCACAUUUCACCUGAUAGCCAAAAUUCACAAUCCUUUUAAAACCUCAUUAGUAAGUCCUGGUUCCCUCUCCCAGUACCACAAAAAUGAAAAUGAACAAACAAAAAGCAAGCCUGUUUCCACUACAUGACAGUGUUCUAAUAAAGAUCUCUCAGUAAAAUACUUUUAUGAUCUGAUUUUCAAGUAUCUCACCUUCCUGGAUUGCUCUCUCCCUUCCCCUUUAAUUUAUCAGAGCAUGGGGUUCAAAAUUAGGUAAAGUUUCCUGCUCUCCAGGGUACCCAAACUGGUAGUUUACAUUUUCUAGGCAAAGUUAUAAAAUGAAGUCACACUUCAUACAUACAUGAGCUUGAAAAACAAACAUUUCUGAUGCAUGAGGAAGAAAGUUUGUGUGUUUGUUAUUAUUCUCUUAUGCCUCCCUCCCUGUUUAGAGACAAUUAAUUUUGUUUAGGAACAUUUUUUAGUAACUCAAAACAUCCGCUAGUAUCAACAAUACCUCAUAUGAUGGUUUCUAUACUUAUUAUGUUCAUAGUUAUUAUCUAAGCCCCAUUCCAUGUGUAAGACAUGGUGCUAAAGGAUAGAAAUAUACUGGUGAAAAAGCAGAGACUGUCCUUGUCCUCAUGGAGCUCACAGUCUACUGGAAAGGAAGACAGUAAAACAAGAAAUUACAACAGAGUGUGGUUCACAUUAAUGUUGAAGAUGCUACAGAAACAGAGAAAGGCAGAUCAAUCCAGUCUUGGGGUGUCAGGGAAAGUGUUUAAUAUUUAUAGCAACUAAUCUUAAAUGUUAUUCUUUGACAAUCCAAUUAUAUAUUUC
This 1732-nucleotide long non-coding RNA is filed under the name Homo sapiens (human). Its description in RNAcentral is "HSALNT0095981". Lineage: Eukaryota; Metazoa; Chordata; Mammalia; Primates; Hominidae. The record is from RNAcentral.